AGCUUUGCGCAGUGGCAGUAUCAUAGCCAAUGAGGUUUAUCCAAGGUGUGAUUAUUGCUAAUUGGAAAGUGUAUGCA
RNAcentral lists this small nuclear RNA (77 nucleotides) under Felis catus (domestic cat). Its description in RNAcentral is "U4 spliceosomal RNA". It matches the Rfam family "U4 spliceosomal RNA", at positions 1 to 77 of the family's 138-position model. From Rfam's summary of the family: U4 small nuclear RNA (U4 snRNA) is a component of the major U2-dependent spliceosome. The structure of U4 snRNA from yeast and human has been reported. Lineage: Eukaryota; Metazoa; Chordata; Mammalia; Carnivora; Felidae. The record is from Rfam by way of RNAcentral.